AUUGAACGCUGGCGGCAUGCUUUACACAUGCUAGUCGAACGGUAACAGGCCUUCGGGUGCUGACGAGUGGCGAACGGGCGAGUAAUGCAUCGGAACGUGCCCAGAUGUGGGGGAUAAAGCAGCGAAAGCUGUGCUAAUACCGCAUGUGAUCUGUGGAUGAAAGCGGGGGACUAAGCAGCAAUGUUUGCCCUCGCGCCUUUGUAGCGGCUGAUCUCAGAUUAGUUAGUUGGUGGGGUAAAGGCCUACUAAUCCGUCGAUCUGUAGCUGGUCUUAGAGGACCACUAGUCAGACUUGGACUGUGGUACAAUCCAGACUCCUACGGUGAGCAGGAGUGGGGAUUUGUCGAAAAAGGGCGCAAGCCUGCUGCAGCAAGGCCGCGUGGGUGAAUAAGAUCUUCGGGUUGUAGACCGCUUUAGUAUGGAACGAAAGGGCUCUGACUAACACCUUUGGCUGAUGACGGUACCGUAAGGAUAAGCAGCGGCUAACUACCUA
RNAcentral lists this ribosomal RNA (492 nucleotides) under uncultured bacterium. RNAcentral's name for it is "partial 16S ribosomal RNA". It matches the Rfam family "Bacterial small subunit ribosomal RNA", at positions 30 to 507 of the family's 1533-position model. The record is from RNAcentral.